Molecule: unclassified non-coding RNA, 372 nt
Filed under: uncultured Colletotrichum
Lineage: Eukaryota; Fungi; Ascomycota; Sordariomycetes; Glomerellales; Plectosphaerellaceae
Description: sequence contains ITS2
Rfam family: 5.8S ribosomal RNA (bases 1-154)
Source: RNAcentral
AACUUUUGACAAUGGAUCUCUUGGUUCUGACAUCGAUGGAGAACGCAGCGAAAUGCGAUAAGUAAUGUGAAUUGCAGAAUUCAGUGAAUCAUCGAAUCUUUGAACGCACAUUGCGCCCGCCAGCAUUCUGGCGGGCAUGCCUGUUCGAGCGUCAUUUCAACCCUCAAGCACUGCUUGGUGUUGGGGCUCUACGGUUGACGUAGGCCCCCAAAACUAGUGGCGGACCCUCUCGGAGCCUCCUUUGCGUAGUAACUUUUGUCUCGCACUGGGAUUCUGAGGGAUUUUAGCCGUUAAACCCCCAAUUUUCUAAAGGUUGACCUCGGAUCAGGUAGGAAUACCCGCUGAACUUAAGCAUAUCAAUAAGCGGAGGAC